Molecule: ribosomal RNA, 381 nt
Filed under: uncultured eukaryote
Lineage: Eukaryota
Description: partial 18S ribosomal RNA
Rfam family: Eukaryotic small subunit ribosomal RNA
Source: RNAcentral
CAAUAGCGUAUAUUAAAGUUGUUGCGGUAAAAAAGCUCGUAGUUGGAUUUCUACCGAAGAUAGCCGGUCGGGUCUUCGACCUUGUAUCUGGUUUUGUCUUUGGUAUCCUCAUAGGGAACGUUUCUGCGCUUUAUUGCGUGGUGCGGUAUCUAUGACUUUUACUUUGAGGAAAUUAGAGUGUUCACGGCAGGCAAACGCCUUGAAUAUAUUAGCAUGGAAUAAUAACAUAGGAUCUUCGUCCUAUUUUGUUGGUUUCUAGGGCUAAGAUAAUGAUUAAUAGGGAUAAUUGGGGGCAUCUGUAUCAACGCGUCGGAGGUGGAAUUCUUGGAUUGCGUUGCGACAAACUACUGCGAAAGCAUUUGCCAAGGAUGUUUUCAUUGA